UACGGAGGGUGCAAGCGUUAAUCGGAAUUACUGGGCGUAAAGCGCACGUAGGCGGUUUGUUAAGUUGGAUGUGAAAGCCCCGGGCUCAACCUGGGAAUUGCAUUCAAGACUGGCAAGCUAGAGUAUGUGAGAGGGGGGUAGAAUUCCAAGUGUAGCGGUGAAAUGCGUAGAGAUUUGGAGGAAUACCAGUGGCGAAGGCGGCCCCCUGGCACAAUACUGACGCUCAGGUGCGAAAGCGUGGGGAGCAAACAGG
This 253-nucleotide ribosomal RNA is filed under the name uncultured bacterium. RNAcentral describes it as "partial 16S ribosomal RNA". It matches the Rfam family "Bacterial small subunit ribosomal RNA", at positions 524 to 776 of the family's 1533-position model. The record is from RNAcentral. RNAcentral also lists the same sequence under 1 other name.